UUCCCUUGCUGGUCAGACAGCCUGACAUGUGGACAUGGGAAAGUACAGAGCUUUGUUGCCCAGCAGCUGGAGAUGGUGGCACCAGGACACAAUGUAAAGCAAAGAAAAGCAAAGAGAACACGAGCUUCAUGAACACAGAGGGAGCUUCCUUGUGCUGUCACCAACACGCCUUGAUCCCAUUCUGGACAGAUUACCUGCAGAGCUCUUCGUUUCUGUGUCUGUUCACUGCUUCACAUCCUCACUACCGCUGCCAAAUACCAUGGCACUGAUGCUCUUCAUUACAAACAGGAUCAGGGCUCACGCAAGGUCCCAGGCAGACAAACAAACCUGAGUUAUGUAGUGCCUGACACAUCUGACACAGGCAGGCACAACCUGCACUGUCCCGGCCACUACCGAGGAAGGCAGGAAUGGGAAAAAGUCAUCAAAGGCUGAGGAAGAUGGGAAAUACCUGUACCACCUUUGCUGCAUUUGUUUGUGAAACAUCAUCUUGUAACUUCAUUUGAUCUGGUCUACUAACAAAAGCUCCUCAUGCCCUGCUUUCUAGUUGUACGGAGCAGCAGGGUGUCGUGCACGCACAGAAAACUGGUGCAGUACGAUCUAUUAAUACAGAAGUUACACAUUUUAAAUCAGCCAGAAGGCAGGCAGGGAAGGUCCCACACCAGAUCAGAGCAAUGUGCAUCUUCCAGGCUUUUGUCUCUGACAGCGGCUGAUGCCAGAUGUUUUAUGAAGAAAAGCUAAAACUAUGGAGGCUGUCAAAACAAGCUCUGUGCAAUGGUGGAAGCUGGCAACUGAAGACUGGCCGAACCCCCAAAGCUUUUUCCAAAUUACUUACCUAUAUUAAUUACUGCCCUGCAUAUCGUUGAUGGCGAUAUCCUUUUAUAAAUCUUGUUAAAUUCUUGGCCUCAGCGGCUUUUCCUGUGUUAAUGACUUCCACAUUUUAAUCACACGUGAGAAAGUAUUUCCUUCUUUUACAGAGGUAUUAAUAUGGACGCUUGGCAACUUCUCUUCACAGACCAAAGAAAUAUUUCAAAGAGAAACUGUUUUCUAGGCAGAAAGGUGACAGCUUCAGAUAACCUCUAACUUCUCCAUAACAGCGUGGGGACAUAAUACAGGUGUAAAUGGAAGUCUAUGAGAUGCACACAGCUUCAGAUGUUACAGAUAUAAAUUUUAUGUGAAUACAGCAAAUUACAAAUUCUAGGCUUUAUCAGUAUUUCAGGUAUUAGAAAUGAGUUGACAUGUUAAAGAGUCCUAAAACUGUUUCUGCGUUAA
Molecule: long non-coding RNA, 1269 nt
Filed under: Anser brachyrhynchus (Pink-footed goose)
Lineage: Eukaryota; Metazoa; Chordata; Aves; Anseriformes; Anatidae
Description: lncRNA (ENSABRG00000008925.1)
Source: RNAcentral